ACAGCGUGCUGGCGGCCACGAACAGCACCGGGCCCCGGCGCCGCAGCCACGCCUCGUACAGAGCCGGCCAGCGCGCGUUCAGCUUGAAGAUGCAGACGAUCUGGAAGGAGCGGGUGGCCACGCACGACAGGAAGAUGACUUGACCACCGGGGUGGAGGCGUUCAGGGCGAAGAGGACGGCCAGCCCUGCCAUGAGCAGCAUGAGGAGGGCAGUGGGGAUCAGCAGUGCCCAGGACAUGGGCCCGGACCAGGACAGGAACUCGACGGUGCGGUUGAAGCAAACCUCGCUCCUCUCGGGUGCCCACUCUUCCGCCCCGCAGUGCUGGCAGCUGUAGAGGUCUGCGGAGGACACGGACGGUGACAAGAGGCACCUCGCCCAGCACGGACCCCGGAUGCGGUGCCGGAAGCAGCUGCCGGGCCGGAUGUGCCCGGGCCAUGGGAGAAG
Molecule: long non-coding RNA, 444 nt
Organism: Pezoporus flaviventris
Lineage: Eukaryota; Metazoa; Chordata; Aves; Psittaciformes; Psittacidae
Exons: 3
Source: RefSeq, a predicted model, not a curated record